GGGUACGGGGGGCAAGCGUUGUUCGGAAUUACUGGGCGUAAAGGGCGCGUAGGCGGUCGUGACAAGUCACUUGUGAAAUCUCCGGGCUUAACUCGGAACGGUCAAGUGAUACUGUCGGACUAGAGUACAGAAGGGGCAACUGGAAUUCUCGGUGUAGCGGUGAAAUGCGUAGAUAUCGAGAGGAACACCUGCGGCGAAGGCGGGUUGCUGGGCUGAUACUGACGCUGAGGCGCGAAAGCCAGGGGAGCGAACGGG
RNAcentral lists this ribosomal RNA (255 nucleotides) under uncultured bacterium. Its description in RNAcentral is "partial 16S ribosomal RNA". It matches the Rfam family "Bacterial small subunit ribosomal RNA", at positions 523 to 776 of the family's 1533-position model. The record is from RNAcentral.